Molecule: ribosomal RNA, 2782 nt
Filed under: Vibrio cholerae
Lineage: Bacteria; Pseudomonadati; Pseudomonadota; Gammaproteobacteria; Vibrionales; Vibrionaceae
Description: partial 23S ribosomal RNA
Rfam family: Bacterial large subunit ribosomal RNA
Source: RNAcentral
GUUGUAUGGUUAAGUGACUAAGCGUACACGGUGGAUGCCUGGGCAGUCAGAGGCGAUGAAGGACGUACUAACUUGCGAUAAGCGCAGAUAAGGCAGUAAGAGCCGUUUGAGUCUGCGAUUUCCGAAUGGGGAAACCCAACUGCAUAAGCAGUUACUGUUAACUGAAUACAUAGGUUAACAGAGCAAACCGGGGGAACUGAAACAUCUAAGUACCCCGAGGAGAAGAAAUCAACCGAGAUUCCGGUAGUAGCGGCGAGCGAACCUGGAUUAGCCCUUAAGCACUCGGUGAAGUAGGUGAACAAGCUGGAAAGCUUGGCGAUACAGGGUGAUAGCCCCGUAACCGACGCUUCAUCGAGCGUGAAAUCGAGUAGGGCGGGACACGUGAUAUCCUGUCUGAAUAUGGGGGGACCAUCCUCCAAGGCUAAAUACUCCUGACUGACCGAUAGUGAACCAGUACCGUGAGGGAAAGGCGAAAAGAACCCCUGUGAGGGGAGUGAAAUAGAACCUGAAACCGUGUACGUACAAGCAGUAGGAGCACCUUCGUGGUGUGACUGCGUACCUUUUGUAUAAUGGGUCAGCGACUUAUAUUCAGUGGCAAGGUUAACCGUAUAGGGGAGCCGUAGCGAAAGCGAGUCUUAACUGGGCGCUCAGUCUCUGGAUAUAGACCCGAAACCGGGUGAUCUAGCCAUGGGCAGGUUGAAGGUUGAGUAACAUCAACUGGAGGACCGAACCGACUAAUGUUGAAAAAUUAGCGGAUGACUUGUGGCUAGGGGUGAAAGGCCAAUCAAACUCGGAGAUAGCUGGUUCUCCCCGAAAGCUAUUUAGGUAGCGCCUCGGACGAAUACUACUGGGGGUAGAGCACUGUUAAGGCUAGGGGGUCAUCCCGACUUACCAACCCUUUGCAAACUCCGAAUACCAGUAAGUACUAUCCGGGAGACACACGGCGGGUGCUAACGUCCGUCGUGGAGAGGGAAACAACCCAGACCGCCAGCUAAGGUCCCAAAGUAUUGCUAAGUGGGAAACGAUGUGGGAAGGCUCAGACAGCUAGGAUGUUGGCUUAGAAGCAGCCAUCAUUUAAAGAAAGCGUAAUAGCUCACUAGUCGAGUCGGCCUGCGCGGAAGAUGUAACGGGGCUAAGCAAUACACCGAAGCUGCGGCAAUGUCUUUUAGACAUUGGGUAGGGGAGCGUUCUGUAAGCCGUUGAAGGUGAAUCGUAAGGUUUGCUGGAGGUAUCAGAAGUGCGAAUGCUGACAUGAGUAACGACAAAGGGGGUGAAAAACCUCCUCGCCGGAAGACCAAGGGUUCCUGUCCAACGUUAAUCGGGGCAGGGUGAGUCGACCCCUAAGGUGAGGCCGAAAGGCGUAAUCGAUGGGAAACGGGUUAAUAUUCCCGUACUUCUGACUAUUGCGAUGGGGGGACGGAGAAGGCUAGGUGGGCCAGGCGACGGUUGUCCUGGUUCAAGUGCGUAGGCUUGAGAGUUAGGUAAAUCCGGCUCUCUCUAAGGCUGAGACACGACGUCGAGCUACUACGGUAGUGAAGUCAUUGAUGCCAUGCUUCCAGGAAAAGCCUCUAAGCUUCAGAUAGUCAGGAAUCGUACCCCAAACCGACACAGGUGGUCGGGUAGAGAAUACCAAGGCGCUUGAGAGAACUCGGGUGAAGGAACUAGGCAAAAUGGUACCGUAACUUCGGGAGAAGGUACGCUCUUGAUGGUGAAGUCCCUCGCGGAUGGAGCUGACGAGAGUCGCAGAUACCAGGUGGCUGCAACUGUUUAUUAAAAACACAGCACUGUGCAAAAUCGCAAGAUGACGUAUACGGUGUGACGCCUGCCCGGUGCCGGAAGGUUAAUUGAUGGGGUUAGCGCAAGCGAAGCUCUUGAUCGAAGCCCCGGUAAACGGCGGCCGUAACUAUAACGGUCCUAAGGUAGCGAAAUUCCUUGUCGGGUAAGUUCCGACCUGCACGAAUGGCGUAAUGAUGGCCACGCUGUCUCCACCCGAGACUCAGUGAAAUUGAAAUCGCUGUGAAGAUGCAGUGUACCCGCGGCUAGACGGAAAGACCCCGUGAACCUUUACUACAGCUUGGCACUGAACAUUGAACCUACAUGUGUAGGAUAGGUGGGAGGCUAUGAAGACGUGACGCCAGUUGCGUUGGAGCCGUCCUUGAAAUACCACCCUUGUAUGUUUGAUGUUCUAACUUAGACCCAUUAUCUGGGUUGAGGACAGUGCCUGGUGGGUAGUUUGACUGGGGCGGUCUCCUCCCAAAGAGUAACGGAGGAGCACGAAGGUGGGCUAAUCACGGUUGGACAUCGUGAGGUUAGUGCAAUGGCAUAAGCCCGCUUAACUGCGAGAAUGACGGUUCGAGCAGGUGCGAAAGCAGGUCAUAGUGAUCCGGUGGUUCUGUAUGGAAGGGCCAUCGCUCAACGGAUAAAAGGUACUCCGGGGAUAACAGGCUGAUACCGCCCAAGAGUUCAUAUCGACGGCGGUGUUUGGCACCUCGAUGUCGGCUCAUCACAUCCUGGGGCUGAAGUCGGUCCCAAGGGUAUGGCUGUUCGCCAUUUAAAGUGGUACGCGAGCUGGGUUUAGAACGUCGUGAGACAGUUCGGUCCCUAUCUGCCGUGGGCGUUGGAAGAUUGAAGGGGGCUGCUCCUAGUACGAGAGGACCGGAGUGGACGAACCUCUGGUGUUCGGGUUGUGUCGCCAGACGCAUUGCCCGGUAGCUAAGUUCGGAAUUGAUAAGCGCUGAAAGCAUCUAAGCGCGAAGCGAGCCCUGAGAUGAGUCUUCCCUGA